GAUGAACGCUGGCGGCGUGCCUAACACAUGCAAGUCGAACGGAAAGGCGCUGCUCUUGCGGGGCUCUCGAGUGGCGAACGGGUGAGUAACACGCGAGUAACACGCACUUGACUUUGGGAUAACUUCAGGAAACUGGGGCUAAUACCGGAUAGGAGCUCCUGAUGCAUGGUGGGGGUUGGAAAGUUUCGGCGGUUGUGGAUGGAUUCGCGGCUUAUCAGCUUGUUGGUCGAGUAGUGGCAUACCAAGCCUUCGACGGAUAGCCGGCCUUAGAGGGUGAACAGCGACAAGAGGCCUGCGGGAGGGAGCAGAAGGCUACGGGAGGCAACAGUCGGAAGCAUUGCGCAGUGGGGGCAAGCCUGAGACGGCGGCCCUCGGAGCGUGAAACUCUGCUACGAGUUAAGAACCGCUUUGUCAUUAAACAUGGACGGAUUGACGGUAACGAGUAAGAAAGCCCCGGCUAACUACGUG
This 468-nucleotide ribosomal RNA is filed under the name uncultured bacterium. Its description in RNAcentral is "partial 16S ribosomal RNA". It matches the Rfam family "Bacterial small subunit ribosomal RNA", at positions 28 to 507 of the family's 1533-position model. The record is from RNAcentral.